Molecule: long non-coding RNA, 1540 nt
Filed under: Cyanistes caeruleus (blue tit)
Lineage: Eukaryota; Metazoa; Chordata; Aves; Passeriformes; Paridae
Description: lncRNA (ENSCCEG00000003539.1)
Source: RNAcentral
GACAUUUUAUUAGACAAAAAUGGGAAACUCUGGCCCCCGCUGACGUCAAGAGGAAUUUGGGUAUCGAUUUCCCUGAAAAAGCAAUUUCAAGCAGUGACCUGGCAGCCUGCACCAACUUGUGCCCAGGCUGUCUGCAUGCAGGGGGCCUUCACCCUCCUCACACAGCCUUUUCAUUUUCCUCUUAUCCAGCUCUAGAUCCAGCUCAGAAAUACUCAGAAGAAUCAGUAACAGAGUGGAAAGAUGUGAGCCUUGAUAUUAACUAUCUGCUUUUAUAGUUUCUCUGAUGUUGGCUUCGGUUACCCAUAACUGGGGGUCGUGCUUGGCUGCCAACUCACUGAGCAACUUCCUCUGUUUAAACAGAAUAUAUAAGCCUUACUCUUUUCCAGAGUUCAUGACUCUUUUGUAAAGUGUUUUAUGAUACAGUUGUUACAGAAUCCACCAUCACAGUAACAGCUCCAGACAAGGCCUCGCUGUGGGCCUGGCUUCCAGCCCACUUCCUUGAAUGGAGGUUUUUCCAUCGCUAUCAGCGGAUGAAUAAAUACAUCAAACUGCAGCACACACCCCCACUGCAGGAACAAGGCCACGGGGGCUUGGGGGGACAUGUCUAGUCGUUGUUUUCUCAGAAUCAGAGAUCGUGAAUCCAGCCCCGUGCAGAGGAUCCUGAAGGCCUGAGUGCCUUUGAGGCCCUUCAAACACAGCUUUUUCAGAGGGUCUUAGCAGCGGUGCUCAGCACACGAGGCCUGUGAAGUCACAUAAACCUCCCACACAUCUGUUCUGUGCCUUACAUCCCUCACUUCUGUUUGUGUGAGGUUUAACAGUGACUGCUCCGGACUGAGAGCAGCCCGUGCAGCGUGAUCCAUCCUUUUAUCACGGCGUUGGGUCAGGUCAGCUCAAUAAGUGAUGGUGGCCUUGUGGUAGUAAAUGAUCUCCAAAGUGCAGCUUCUUCUGCACUUCAGGGCACAGAUUUCCCACAAAGGAAAUGGGAGUGCUCGGGAGAUGGUGCCGGUGGAACCAGCAGAGGAAAAAGUUCAACACAAACAUCUUCUUCGCUUUCUAAAAUCCGUGGGCUGAGGUGUUCCACCUGCCAGGUGGAAACACAGACCAGAAAAAUCACAGCAAGUUCCUGGAAAGUAGGAACAGAGCAGGAGCAGGCCCAAGAGGAGGUGUCACACCUGCCAAGUCACCCAGCCAGGAGCAAACUUGGUUUUGGACUCCCAGAAAGACAUGCAGCUGAACUGGCAUGAGGGGCCGAUGUGCUGGUGGCAAAAGGGACCUUCCUUGGCCCUUUAUGGAUUCCUUUCUACCACAGACACAGAAUGGCUGGGUGAGUUCUGGAUGAGCAAAGAAUGCGGAACACAAGUGGUGAUGGACAGUUAGAACUUGAACAUUUGGGCACAUCCUCCCUUGGCAUGGCUGCUGGGGGAACCGUAACACUUUACAGCUCCUAAGAGACUUCACAGACAUUCCUUCUUUAUUGUACAACUAAAAAUAGCCCAGUGCUUUGGCUUGGGUUGUUUUUAGAGGUGGGCAGGCCUUUCCC